GACGAACGCUGGCGGCGUGCUUAACGCAUGCAAGUCGAACGGAAAGGCCCUGCUUUUGUGGGGUGCUCGAGUGGCGAACGGGUGAGUAACACGUGAGUACCUGCCCUUGACUUUGGGAUAACUUCAGGAAACUGGGGCUAAUACCGGAUAGGAGCUCCUGCUGCAUGGUGGGGGUUGGAAAGUUUCGGCGGUUGGGGAUGGACUCGCGGCUUAUCAGCUUGUUGGUGGGGUAGUGGCUUACCAAGGCUUUGACGGGUAGCCGGCCUGAGAGGGUGACCGGCCACAUUGGGACUGAGAUACGGCCCAGACUCCUACGGGAGGCAGCAGUGGGGAAUAUUGCACAAUGGGCGGAAGCCUGAUGCAGCAACGCCGCGUGCGGGAUGACGGCCUUCGGGUUGUAAACCGCUUUCGCCUGUGACGAAGCGUGAGUGACGGUAAUGGGUAAAGAAGCACCGGCUAACUACGUG
Molecule: ribosomal RNA, 467 nt
Filed under: uncultured bacterium
Lineage: Bacteria
Description: partial 16S ribosomal RNA
Rfam family: Bacterial small subunit ribosomal RNA
Source: RNAcentral